UGGCAGGUGGUCAGGCAUUAUUAUGGCCAUCAAAACACCCACUUGUUGAUAUUUAUUUAUUUAUUUUCAACAAGUAUCUUUGUUCUCUAAGAAUGGAGUUUCAAAAAGGGUUGUCAAGAUCAACAAAUGUUACUUCACAUGAUGCAGAGGCAGGCUUGAUUCUGGAAUGAUGAACCCACGGGGUGAUCUCUGUAUCUUUCACGGUGCACUACUCAGCAUGUGGUCUUGGUUAUCACUUUGGUGGCUGGAUAGGCCUCUGGCCAUCCUGAAAACAUGUCUGCUAUAAUUAGUGCAUAUUUGAAUCAGCCAUUCUUUGGCAUUCUGGCGACUUGACUCCUCUGGAAGAGAUAAUGAGGUUUGGCUAGAUACUUGGGGCUUUCAUCCAUUCUUCUUGAGUUGCCCUUGGCACAAAUGGCACAAGAUUUACAGUAACUGUUGGUCAGAGAGGCAAUUCCUGGUACUUCAGAGUAUUUAUUGAUCAAAAGAGUUCAUGAGGGUUCUGGACAGAUGCUCCGUAGGCCCACUGGACCACUGCUGAGUAUAUGUUCUUGGGCAAGUAUAACUUGAGAUUGUUGAAGUACAGCCUGUCUUUAAGAGUUGCCCCUUUCUGUUUCCAGCUUGUGGUUUGUUUGUUUUUUCUUUCUUUCCAGGGUCAGUAGCUUGCUUGUUAUUCCUUCGGGAGCUUGAUGUCUGUGGGUAGGAUCUUAC
This is a non-coding RNA of Pelobates cultripes (western spadefoot toad), 708 nucleotides long. The record is from the annotation of a GenBank genome assembly. NCBI's taxonomy places the organism in Eukaryota, Metazoa, Chordata, Amphibia, Anura, Pelobatidae.